This 463-nucleotide ribosomal RNA is filed under the name uncultured bacterium. RNAcentral describes it as "bacterial SSU rRNA". It matches the Rfam family "Bacterial small subunit ribosomal RNA", at positions 28 to 507 of the family's 1533-position model. The record is from RNAcentral.
GAUGAACGCUGGCGGCGUGCCUAACACAUGCAAGUCGAACGAGAACCCAUUCUUCGGAUUGGGGGACAGUGGCGAACGGGUGAGUAACACGUUGGUGACCUGCCCCGAAGCGGGGGACAACCACGGGAAACUGUGGCUAAUACCGCAUGUGCUCCAGGGGGUUAGAGGACUCUGGAGUAAAGCUCCGGCGCUUCGGGAGGGCCUGCGGCCUAUCAGCUAGUUGGUGGGGUAAUGGCCUACCAAGGCUAAGACGGGUAGGGGGCGUGAGAGCGCGACCCCCCACAAUGGAACUGAGACACGGUCCAUACUCCUACGGGAGGCAGCAGUGAGGAAUAUUGCGCAAGUGGGGGCAACCCUGACGCAGCAACGCCGCGUGGGUGAUGAAGGCCUUCGGGUCGUUAAACCCUUUUCUGGGGGAAGAGAAAGGACGGUACCUCAGGAAUAAGUCCCGGCUAACUACGUG